GUAAUGGCGAACGAACAGGGAUCAGCUUGGGUUGGAAACCGGGGCUUCUGCCUUGGAUUGUGGCCUUUAGACAUACUACCAACGGCGGCGCGACGGUAAGCCUCUUGGAACAGAGCGUCUACCUAGGUGAGAAUCCUGUGUUUCGCUUGAUGCCCGCCGUGCACGGUACUUGCUCUCAGAGUCACGCUCCUCGGAAUUGGAGCGUAAAUUGGGUGGUAAAUUUCAUCUAAAGCUAAAUACAGGCUCGAGACCGAUAGCAAACAAGUACCAUGAGGGAAAGAUGAAAAGGACUUUGAAAAGAGAGUUAAAAGUGCUUGAAAUCGCUGAACUGGAAGCGAAUGGAACUAGUGCUCUGGUUGAGAUUGCUGCAGGUGGCUGCAAAAUCUGGGCUCUGGAAUGCAAAUCCUUGGUCUAGUUUGGAGUAGUUGCUUGCAAUGUGUCUCAGCUUGAACAUCAACUUUCAUGCAUGCGUGAGGAUGGCCCUUGGCUCAUGCUGUCUUACUGCGGUGAAAUUCUUGUGCCUUUUGGGAUUCAGGCGUGUGUGGACUGUUGAUCAAUUAGUUCCAUUCGACCCGUCUUGAAACACGGACCAAGGAGUCUAGCACUUGUGCAAGUCCUCAGGUGUCAAACCUCUGUGCGCAAUGAAGGUGACUGCUGGGAUUUUUUGCACCAGCAACCGACCAAUCAAUUGGGAGAAGUUUGAGUAAGAGCAUGUGUGUUAGGACCCGAAA
Molecule: ribosomal RNA, 731 nt
Filed under: Symbiodinium pilosum
Lineage: Eukaryota; Dinophyceae; Suessiales; Symbiodiniaceae
Description: LSU rRNA
Rfam family: Eukaryotic large subunit ribosomal RNA
Source: RNAcentral